CUGUUUAAUGCUUUGGUUCUAUCUCUUCCUCUCUCUGCGCUCAUUUGUUCUCAUCCGGUUGGAUUCUCAUUGGUUGCUCCGCCUCUCGCUCCUGUUGAUCGAGUUUCUGUUUGCCGGUGCUGCUGAUAGCUCUGGUCGCUUCUUCCGCUGCGAUGGCGGGUGUGGGAUUCAGAUUCAGAUUCAGAGGAUCGUGUGUUUCAUGAAGACUAGAUGGAAACGAUUGAAAGCGCCAUUGAUUCUGUGUAUUCAUUGGCAAUUGACCAUUUCAAGAAAUAUGAUGGCCGUGUUAUUCACGACGACAGUUUCAAUGACCUACUGCACACACGCAGAGAGCUGAAGGCAAGUCAGUUUUGGAGCGAUAUGCUGGAACAGUCCCGUGACUCACUGCGUACCUCACUAGACAAGCAAGUAGCAUCGCAAGAUCGACUCAAAGCAGAUCUUGUAUCCCUUUGUCGCGCUCAUGGAGAUAUUCUAUCUGUUAGAGUGUCUCUGCCUGACAGUCCAACCACUACGAUUCAGUAUACAGGAUCACAGGUCCCUGCAUCUGGCCUGGAGAAACUCUCCUCGGAGUUGGUUGCCAUUGUCAAGAAGAUGUAUGUGGCCACAUAAAUAUCAUGUGACAUACUCUGAAAUCACCACUUCUUUAGAUUAUCUGCUUUUCGAUGAAAUGUCUAUGUACUGUCGGUUGCUCCAUGCCUUGAUGUAAAUAUGAUGUAACAUAUUCCUAGAUCACAGCUUCUUUAGACUUGUUUCUUUUGCCUGUCAUAUAUAUCUUCUGCCAAUAACCUGAUGCUGAGGAGCAGAAUCAGCAGCAACAACAGAGGCAGGAUCAGUCAGGAGCUAACAAUCAGCACCAAGGAAACAGACACAAUAAACAGAGGAUCAAUGAGGAGGAGCCUACUCAACCUAUGGAUCCUAAAUACAAAGAGUUGAUUUGCUUUAAUUGUGGAGGACCAGGACAUUAUGUGGGAAACUGUGUUAAACCAAAGCUCUGCUUUAUUUGUAGCAUACCUGGCCAUCAUAUGGACAAUUGCCCAGCUUGGGGGAGAGAAAUUCUUAUGGUACAGUUUGUUGAAAGUGCUAAUGGAGGGUUAGGAUUUUUUUCACAUCAAUGUAGAUGAUAAAGCUUCUACAAAAUGGCUAAAUAUGGGCAACUAUGGAGUCAUAGCUGUCACUCAUGGGAACAUAUCUGUCAAGGACCUAGAGGAGUGUAUGGCAAUCACUUGGGAUGCCUCCUGGCCUUAGCAGGUUAGACAAUUGGAGGAGAAAAGUUUUUUGGUAAGAUUCCCUCCUACCAAAAAGGUGACUGACCUGGUAGGACUGCCCUCAAUCAACUUAAGGGAGGGGGGGUGAGAAUGAAAGAGUUACUAUCAAAAUUCUGCCCUGGGAUGGAGAUCUCCCAGAACUGGGUGAACUAACAGAAAUCUGGCUACAGAUCAAUGGAAUCCCACCUAAAUGGUGCACCUGGAAAGUUAUUACACAAGUGUCUAAAUGUUUUGGUCUGCUUCUGGAUGUAGACUGGAAUGAAAUCUUCAAAUCUAUGUAUGCUACAGUUAGGGUUAAAUUGGCUGUGAGAAACCCUGAUAAAAUUCCACCUGCAAGAAUGGUUGUAAUGAAGAAGAAGUUUUAUCUGUUACAGUUUACUGUAGAAUGGGAAGGAGUGGACAUUGACAGAGUGAUGGGUCUGGAAGAUAAAGAUUAAAAUGGAGAUGAUGAUUAUGAAGAUGACAACAUUAUGGAUGAUGAAAUACAAGACUUGGAGAAAAAUAGAGACACUCUGAUGAAGAACCAGGAGAAAUCUGAUCCUAAGGGCACAAAAAUUGUUAAUGGAGGUUCCAAAUCGGCACCUCCAAAAACAAAUUAUUCCCAGGUCACUCAAGCACUCAUUAAUGCUAGCCUGGUUGAAUCAGAAGAUGAGGAAGAGAGUGGUGAUUGUAAUUCAGAUAAUCCUCGGCAUGAACCAUUACACAUAGAAGUUGAUGAUCAGAUGAAGGCACCUCAAAAUCUGGAAGAAGAUUCUGAAAUCUUGUUAGUUACAACCUCUCAGAUACCUGCAGAAGUAAUCCUCACUCAUGAGACACAGGAGAGUUUCCCAACACCAGCAGAAGCUAAGGAAAAGAAUAGGAAGAAGAACAAAUGGGGCCCAGUAGGUCCCACACCUGAUAUUGUCAAUAAACAAAUUAAUAGAAUAAAACAACUUGAAUACAGUAGGUUACAGGCUUUAGCUGAAGAACAACCUGACAUUUUCCUUCCUGCUAGUAUUGAUCCUACAUUAGAGAAUUUCUCAGCACCUAAUUUUACUGAUGAAAAUGUUGAUUGCUUUAACUAUGAUUCCCCUCUUAGUGAUAUUGGACAUGAUAAUGAACAGGAUGACAUUAUCCAUGUUUCAUAUAAACUUAGGAAAGAUAGGAGCUUUAAAUCUAAACAUAAAAAGGAUUAUGAUGCAGUACAUUAUUUGGAACGUUAGGGGCCUUAAUGACCCCAAGAAAGUUAAAAGGGUUUCUGAACUCCUUAGAGUUCAUCAUCUUGAUGUGAUUGCUUUGUCAGAAACCAAGAAAGUGGACUUUAGUUCAUCUUGCUUGGAGGCUUUAGCCAAUUUUAGAGAUUUUGCUUGGAAACACCUGCCAGCUGUUGGUACAGCAGGAGGGAUCCUUUUAAGGAUUAAUUUAGAUAUAUUUGAUGUUAUUAGAUGGGAUAUAGGUAACUUCUUUGUUUCCUGUGAAAUCAAAAACAAAAAUGAUGGUUUUGCUUGGAAAUUUGUGGCUAUAUAUGGCCCUGCAUAUGAUGAGCUGAAACAACAGUUCAUUGAUGAACUAACCUCACUUUGUAGCUCUUGUUCUCUGCCCAUCUUAGUGGGAGGGGAUUUCAAUUUAAUCAGACAAGCUUAGGAUAAAUCAUCUGGUAACAUAAACCAAACAUGGACAGAUAAAUCAAUAAUUGGAUUAAUUCUGCUGCCCUAAUGGAAUUGAAACCUACCAGUAGACAAUUUACUUGGUCAAAUAAUCAAGACAGCCCUGUGAUGGCAGCAAUUGAAGCGAUCCUCCCCCUUACAGGGUUCGAUCUCUGUGCUUACUGUGCUAGUCCCUGGAUCGACUCAGUAGCACACACAGUUUCAUGAUGAAAUAUACAGAAACAAAGGUCAAAAGUACUUUAUUACAUCGCAUCAUUCAGAAUUUAAAUAGUACUUACAACCUCGCAUGACCUCUUGGGUCAGCAUAAAACAAAGACUGUUUCAAUAUAAAAAAACAAUGUUUCUAAACUACUGCAGCGGAAAAGGGUAGAACAAUAAGGGCCACAACUACUCCAAGGUGAGAGCAUGUUGGAAUGUAAGCACAUGACCCAUGACAAAACGACGAACUUCACUCAUCGUCGGAUCCACCUGCAUUGUUAAUUGCAGCCACUACGUGGUCAAUACAUUUGAAUGUAUUGGCAAGUUCACCAGAGUUAUAAAAGACCUACCAAGUACAUGCAUAAUUUGGCUAGGUGGGGUUUGGCUGUUUGCAUAAAAGCAUCAUGGUUAAAUCCUAUCAUUUUUAAACAAAUAGUUUUGAAUUCUAUUGGACACGGGGUAGAAACACCCAUGCUCCUAUUAACCUAGGCACAUUGAGUAGAAACAUCAAUGCUCCUACCCAGUUCAAACCAUUCAUUUUAUUAGGAAAUUGGAAUGAGUGAGACCUUCCUUACAGCCUCAAUAUCUAGUUGCUCAUAAUUGUCCGUAACCGGGGACACGGCUAAGUACUUAGUUUGACACUCUCGAGAGGUGGUACACUUUACCCAUAAGAAAUCGACGUGUUAAUCCCUUGCUGUCCUCCAGGUGGAGUAGCAACGGCAUCGAUUACAGGAAUUUCAGAACAUAUUCCCCCAAACCACCUGAGGGACGCGUUCCAACCUACACUGCUACAUACCGAUGUCACCUCGGAUCCAGGUUCAUAUUUCUUACGUCCAUCCUGGCAGAGCCCAUAAUACCAUGUGGUUGUACUGGAAGCUGCUAAACAGGAAACUAGUCCAGUCUCUGGUUACCCCGGGUGGCAUUCCUCAGUUGUAACGCAGGCGCUCCCAUAGAAAUGGCGAGAUGACUCAUAGAAAUGGAUCCAUAGAAAUGGACCUGACGUCGCAUACAUCUCCACUUCCUCAAAGCAGCCCACACAGGACGGUUCAUUGAAUUACUUGUUUUGCCGUACACUAGGAAAACCAUAUUGUAAUUCAAUAGUAUCACAUUGUAAUAAUACCGCCCUCGUUUAUUAUCAUAGCAUAGUAUUUUACUACUACGAUAGCAAUUGGUGGUAAGGACAAGGCAGGGGUGUCCUAUACUACUAGGAGGAAUCAUAGCUAGCAUAGCAUAGAUACAAUAAUAGUCCUGACAAUGCAACUAAUAAAAUCUAGUGCAUAAUAAAGUAAUAGGUGAAUGAUGAAAGUGAACUUGCCUUGAUAGUAGUUGGUAUUCAGACACUCUUCACAGUACACAGUUCGCUCUCCGAGAAAACUAAACAAUACAAACAAUGCAUACAUAAACACACCAUACAAACAAAAGAAUAUGCAUGCCAUGAUGCAAUGCAAAACAUGUGACAAGAGCUUGGUUUAUUUUAUUUGGGUGAUCUACUGAUCCUAAGCAUAAGUAAUUAAAACAAAUGCAUUAGGGUUUUAAAUAGAAAGGAAAAGGUUAGGGUUUAAACCCUAAAAUAAGGUUUUAUUUGCAUCAGCCAAAUAAAUUAAUUCAACAUAUUUAUUUAUGUGUCCCAUUGGACAGAGGAUAAUAAAAUGAAAUUUUGGGCACUGGUUUCAAUCAAAAAGGACUUCUAAAUAAUUAGUUAUGAUUUAAAUGGCAUUAAACCUUAUUCUGUAAUUUGAAUGUGAUUCAAAUAUUCAAAAUUGAAAUUGGACAGUGCCAAAAGAUUCUACACUUCCUAAGGAUUCCAAAAAGGUGUGGAUCAUCAAAUUUGGCCAAACAGAUUAAAAGAUAUGAUCAUUUGAAGUUACAGAGGCUUUUUUGCAAAAGUGCCAUUUAAUUAUUCCGGGGGAUUAAAAUUAGAUUUUUAUUUUUAUUUUACCGUGCCAUGUGGCGGCUCCUGAUUGGUGCGUACCGGUUCGUUUAAGUGAAAUAAAAAGGAUCUAAUCUGGGCCGUUGAGGACGGAUGGACGGACGAGAUCUCACCUCCGGGAACCUAGGGUUCCGGCGAGCUUCUCCGGCGGCGGCGCGGCACGGGCGGGUGGUUCCGGCGAGGCUGGCACGACGGGGAGGUCAUGGGGAGGAGCGGCACGGCACGGGGAACACGGUGACGCGGUCGGCGCGGGGUCGGGCGGUCGGAGUCCUCGCCUAGGUCGAAGACGAGGUGGCGGCGCGGGCGGAACUCCGACGACGGGCGGCGGAGCUUCGAGCUCGGGCAUCGGGGCGCUGCAGUGGACCAAAAACGAGGGGAUUCACGUCAAAAGAUGCGCGAGAGCGAGAGGGAGGAGAUAGGGUAGGUGGGGGUGGCUCUCGACCUUUAGGUUGCCGGUGACGAGCUCGAGACGGCGGCGGACUCCGACGAGGCUUCGGCGAGAAAUUGCAGCGGCGUGGUCGCGCGAUUGACUGGGGAAGCAAGGGGGAAGAAGAGAGGGGGUCGCGGGGUUUAAAUGGACGCGCUCGGGGCUGCAAAAGGAAGGACGGGAGAGGAGAUUGCGGCGGUGAGCGCGCGGCGGCGAAAACGGCAGGCGGCGCAGCGGACGCGGGCGCCUUCCAAACAAGGAAGACGACCCUGACAGGCGGGCCCCGCCUGUCAGCGGCUCGGUGCGACGUGCGCGAUUUCCGGGCCGGUCGGCUUGGCUCAGGCCAUUUUGAUUUAGCCCGUUCGGCCCAUUUUGGCCGGCCGGUCCGGUUUCCUCUUUUUUUUUCUUUUAGCCCUUUUCUUUUUCUGUUUUUCUUAUUUCUUUGAUAUCUUUUGAUUUUGAACUCCUAAUUGUCCCAAGGAAAUUCCAGAAAAUUUGUAAAAUCAUGUUUUACCAUGAUUCAACUUUUGGGAGUAAUUUCCCCUCAAAAUAAAAUAUAUAAAAAUACAUUUGCCCUAUAAAUGCCUUUAGGGCUAUAUAUCUAUUUAAAUAAAAUACUUUUUCAACUUCAAAUAAUUAUCCAAAAAUUAUGGGAUAGCUUAUAUAUGCAUUAAACCCCUUUUAUACAUAAAACCUAUUGGUUUGAAGAUCCAAGCUCAAAUGGGUGUAAACCCUAAGGUUUAAAUUGAAAUAAAAACUUUUAAAGCCUUUUGAGAUUCAAAUUUGAAUUCAAACAUGCAAUUGUGGCAUGAUGCUUAUGGAUGCAAUGCAUAUGAAAGGUUUUGAAUUUUUGGGAUGUUACGGCAAUUGAUAGAGUUUUUGUCUCCACUUGUUGGGAAUCACAUUUCCCUGGUGCUUUGUUAUCUGCUUUAGCAAGAGUGGCAAGUGACCAUACCCCUUUAUAUUUAGAUUGUGGAGGAAUUACUCUCCCUGUUAGGAAAAUCUUUAGAUUUGAAAAAUGGUGGCUGGAGAUAGAUGAUUGUAAGGAGGCAAUUAUACAGACCUGGAAUUUGGCCUGUCCUUGCCAUACUGCCAUAUAUGGCAAUUUAAGAUAAGAAGGCUCAGAAAAUUGCUGAGAGGCUGGGGAAUAAACAUUGAAGCAGCCCAGAAAAAACUUAAAAAAAACUUAGUGGCAGAAUAUGAAUGUUUAGAUAUCAUGGCUGAAUCUCAACCUCUCUUGCCAUAGGAAAAAGCUAGGAUGAAGACCAUUAGGUCUGAAUUGCAAAAAAUUUGGACAAUGGAGGAGACUAAAGCUAGACAAAGAGCUAGAGAAAGAGACAUACUGGAAGGUGUUAAAAAUACAGCAUACUUCCAUGCUUUAGCUAACGAAAGAAGGAGAAAAAAGAAAAUCACCUCUCUAGAAGAUCCAGAUGGUUUGGUUCAUGAUACUCCACACAUGCUGGAGAUAGCUGUAAACUUUUACAAAGUCCUCUUUGGACAUGAAGAUAGGAUUAAUAUUUCAUUAGAUGAUAAUUUCUGGGAUCCUGAAGACCUUGUAACAGAGACUGAAAAUGAGUUCCUUGACCAGCCUUUUUGCUAAAGAAGAAAUCAAGGGAGCAGUGUUCUCCUCAUAUGUUGAGGGGGCACCAGGGCCUGAUGGUUUUCCUUUCCUUUUCUAUCGGAAAUUUUGGGAAACAAUCAAGACCGAUCUUUUAAAACUCUUCAAAGACUUUGACAAUAACAGGGCUGACCUGUUUAGACUAAAUUUUGCUAUGCUGACCCUAAUCCCUAAGGAACCUGAUGCUACUUCACUUAAGAAGUUUCGGCCCAUUGCUUUAACAAACUGUAGUUUGAAAAUCUUUGCAAAAGCCUGCACCUUGAGGCUGGGAAGUUGUGCUGACCGUCUGAUAUCCAUCAACCAGACAGCCUUCAUUAAAGGCAGAUAUAUUUUAGACAGUGUAGUUACUGCCCAUGAGAUAAUACAUGACAUACAUCAUAAAAAGGAGGGAGGAAUUUUAUUGAAACUUGACUAUGAAAAAGCAUAUGAUGUAUUGGAAUUUUUUGGAACAAAUGUUAACACAAAGGGGUUUUAGCCCCAGCUGGAGGAGGAAGAUUGCAACACUGAUUCAUGGGGGAUCAGUGGGAGUCAGGAUCAAUGAUUCUGAAAGUGAUUACUUUGUGACUGGUAAGGGUCUUAGACAGGGAGACCCUCUUUCCCCAAUCCUUUUCAAUCUAGUAGCAGAUGUGUUUACUAGGAUGCUGUUUAAAGCAGGACACAGAAAUCUUAUAUCAGCGUUGUUGCCAGACUUCUGCCCAGGGGGAAUCCUUAGUCUCCAAUAUGUAGACGACACACUAAUUUUUCUGAAAAAUGAUGUUAAUAUGGUCCAGAACUUGAAAUGGAUACUUACUCUUUAUGAACAGCUGUCAGGAAUGAAAAUUAACUAUCACAAAUCUGAUCUGAUACCAAUGAAUUUAGAAGAAGAAGAGACUAAUAUCUUGGCUCAAAUACUAGGAUGUAAGAAGGGCUCUUUGCCUAUUACUUAUCUAGGUGUUCCUUUGCACCACAGUAAGCUUAGGAAAGAAGACCUUCAACCUGUAAUUGAUAAGGUAAUAAAAAGGGUUGCUGGAUGGAGGGGAAGACUACUCUCCUAUGGGGGAAGAAUUGUGCUCAUUAGAGCCUGUCUUGCUAGUAUUCCCAUCUACUUACUCUCCUUUAUCAAAUUCCCUAACUGGGCUAUUCAGGCUAUUAAUACACAAAUGGCUCAUUGUCUGUGGGAUAAUUAUGAUGGACACCAUAAGUAUCAUUUAGCCAAUUGGGACAUGAUGUCUAUGAAAAAAGAAUUUGGGGGCUUAGGUAUUCCAAACUUAAAAGACUUGAAUGUUACUCUACUUGCUUCCUGGAUACACAGAUACAAUCUAGACUCUAAUAGACUUUGGAAGCAGAUAGGGGAAUUUAAAUAUGAUAGUUCAAACCCCAACAUCUUUGCUUGUGAUGAAAGAGAAGGAUCUACCUUCUGGAAAGGAAUCUUAUGGGCUAGUAGAGCUGCCAAGCUGUGAUACCAGUGGCUGGUAGGAGAUGGAAAAUCUAUAAGAUUUUGGGAAGACCAGUGGUUUGGAGGCUCUAGUUUAGCUAUACAAUUCUGGGACCUGUAUACUAUCUGUAAUGAACAAAUGGCCACUUUGGCUGAAGUGUGGGAUGGGGGAGAAAUCAAACUCUCUUUUAGGAGGAGCUUUGGCCCCAGACUCUUAGAACAGUGGGAUACUAUCUCACAGAUUGUCACUGCUGUAGUUUUUAGCACAGAGAAGGAUCAAAUGAUUUGGAAGUUACAUUCCUCUAGGAUUUACACUUCACAAUCUCUGUAUGCUGUAGUUAACUGCAGGGGAAUUAUGCCUGUUUUUUUUCCUGCUUUAUGGCACAUUCAUGCCCCGCCUAGAGUACAUAUGUUCCUCUGGCUUGUAAGCUACAAUAAAAUCCUCACCCGAGACAAUUUAAGUAAGAGACAGGAAGUGCCUGACAAAACAUGUUUAUUCUGUAAUGAACCAGAAUCAGUCACUCAUUUAUUCUUUGAUUGUGUAGUAGCUCAACUGCUUUGGACUGAACUUGCUGAAAUUAUUCAGAAACCUCCCAUCUUAACGUAAGAAAAUCUAGCUACCUACUGGCUAUGCAACAAGAGGAUGGUGUAAUAAACAUGCUUACUACUGCUGUCUUAUGGACAAUUUGGAAAUUUAGAAAUGAUCUUUUGUUUGCCCAUCAUAUCUGGCUUAAUAUCCAGGUCCUGUGGAGGAGAUCACUGCGCUUAUUAAAGCGCUGGCAACCGCUAUGCCCAAGACGCGACACGUUGAUCUGGGACAAAUGCCUGUUACUGCUGGAGAACAAAGCACUGGAGGCUCCCCGGCUGCGCCGAGCAAGAAACGGCGUACCACAAUUGCAGGCCCUGGGACACCUUCUCUACCUGAACAGAAAGCGCUACUGAAGCUCUACUAAAAACGAGUGAAUACCAUUUUUGAAGAGCAGGAAAAGAGUCUGUGUUUGAUGUAAUUUUCGGUUAUCCGGCCUGUGUGCCAUGUUGGAAACUGCUGGUAGCAGAUAGCUGUUGUGUUGUUUUGGUUUUGUAACCAGGAGCUUAACUGUCACAACUGGGGGUUUCCUCUCGUUUUGAGGGGGAACCGGGCAAUAAAAUGCCUUUCAUCUAAAAAAAAUAACCUGAUGCUGAAGAUGUCACAUAUGUCCGUAAGUUUUUGAUGUUCUGUCAGAUAUGAUGUGUACAGUUUGUUUUUUCAGAUGUAAUAUGUCCCUCUGAGAACAUAUAAUAUAUAUGGUAUUCUGCU
RNAcentral lists this long non-coding RNA (9795 nucleotides) under Brachypodium distachyon (stiff brome). Its description in RNAcentral is "long non-coding RNA (BDIS_LNC001404)". The record is from RNAcentral. Lineage: Eukaryota; Viridiplantae; Streptophyta; Magnoliopsida; Poales; Poaceae.